AAUCAACGCUGGCGGCGUGCCUCAGACAUGCAAGUCGAACGCGAAAGGUUCCUUCGGGAACCGAGUAGAGUGGCGCACGGGUGAGUAACACGUAGGUAAUUUGCCUUUGGGUGGGGAAUAACAGCCGGAAACGGCUGCUAAUACCGCAUAAUGCAGCGGCUCGACAUCGAGACAGUUGUUAAAGCGGGGGAUCGCAAGACCUCGCGCCUAAAGAGAAGCCUGCGGCAGAUUAGCUAGUUGGUAGGGUAAUGGCCUACCAAGGCGACGAUCUGUAACCGGCCUGAGAGGGCGGUCGGUCACACUGACACUGACAUACGGGUCAGACUCCUACGGGAGGCAGCAGUCGGGAAUUUUGGGCAAUGGGCGAAAGCCUGACCCAGCAACGCCGCGUGAAGGAUGAAA
RNAcentral lists this ribosomal RNA (402 nucleotides) under uncultured bacterium. RNAcentral describes it as "bacterial SSU rRNA". It matches the Rfam family "Bacterial small subunit ribosomal RNA", at positions 32 to 413 of the family's 1533-position model. The record is from RNAcentral.